GGGUUAGUAGGUUGGUCAUGCCUCUGGUAUGUACUGAUCUCACUGAUUCCUCCUUCCUGAUGAGCCGUAAUGCCAUUAAUUUGGUGUUGCAGGGAAUUUGGACUGUUACUUUGAAAAAAUUAGAGUGUUUAAAGCAAGCUAACGCUUGAAUACAUUAGCAUGGAAUAAUGAAAUAGGACGUUCGAUCCUAUUUUGUUGGUUUCUAGGUAUAGAGUA
Molecule: ribosomal RNA, 216 nt
Filed under: Campeiostachys nutans
Lineage: Eukaryota; Viridiplantae; Streptophyta; Magnoliopsida; Poales; Poaceae
Description: Elymus nutans partial small subunit ribosomal RNA
Rfam family: Eukaryotic small subunit ribosomal RNA
Source: RNAcentral